RNAcentral lists this unclassified non-coding RNA (536 nucleotides) under Amphimedon queenslandica. RNAcentral describes it as "uncharacterized LOC109590004, transcript variant X2". The record is from RNAcentral. Lineage: Eukaryota; Metazoa; Porifera; Demospongiae; Haplosclerida; Niphatidae.
GUCUGAUAUCUCUGGUCUGAUAUAUUGCUGUUAUACAAAGAAGAUACUGGAUGUAAUGCUACAUUAAUGAAUCUUCACUCUGAGUGUAACAGUGCUGUUUGCACUGGUGUAUCAUGAUUUUAUGAAGAUGGCUGCCAGUCACAUGGAGGGAACCGGAAUUGCUUUUCUUGAGUUUUCUAAGGCUUACGAAGAUGAGUAUAUAGGCUGUUAUAAAGUUGGGAAAAGGACAAUUUCUGAAGAUUGCCAUUUCAGUGGUCAUUUUUGCGUGAAACAAAUUAUACAAGCAAUAGGCAUGAUAAUUUUGUGGAUGGUGUCACUGUGGUUGCCGCCAUGUUUUGUAGUUCGAUUUGCUCAAUUGAAGGUACAUAUGUAGUAACUAUCAUAAGAAUGUGACACUGAAAAGUAUUCAUUACAUUAGGAUCUUUCAAAGGAUGCUGUAUUAAUAAUGCCAAUUAAUUGUUCUGUACUCAUUUUGAUAACUGAGCUGUGUGUGGCAUGAUUACCUCUUACUUAUAAUGAACAGUAAUGUAUUGAUA